RNAcentral lists this ribosomal RNA (253 nucleotides) under uncultured Bacteroides sp. Its description in RNAcentral is "partial 16S ribosomal RNA". It matches the Rfam family "Bacterial small subunit ribosomal RNA", at positions 524 to 776 of the family's 1533-position model. The record is from RNAcentral. Lineage: Bacteria; Pseudomonadati; Bacteroidota; Bacteroidia; Bacteroidales; Bacteroidaceae.
UACGGAGGAUUCAAGCGUUAUCCGGAUUUAUUGGGUUUAAAGGGAGCGUAGGCGGGUUGUUAAGUCAGUUGUGAAAGUUUGCGGCUCAACCGUAAAAUUGCAGUUGAUACUGGCAUCCUUGAGUACAGUAGAGGUAGGCGGAAUUCGUGGUGUAGCGGUGAAAUGCUUAGAUAUCACGAAGAACUCCGAUUGCGAAGGCAGCUCACUGGACUGCAACUGACGCUGAGGCUCGCAAGCAUGGGUAGCGAACAGG